ACCGGCACACAGCACACUCGGCUGGAAACACACGCAGGCGCGCUUCUUAAAGGAGAAGGCUCAUAAAGGAUGGCUCUUAGAGGUGUAUGGCGCAUUGGAUUAGGUACCCGGCCCUCGUAAAGGGCUCUUGUGGGUGAUGGUGACGAACUGUUUUUCCUUAUUACCUGCCCCCAUCCAGAAGUCUGAUACCUACAGCGGGAAUCCACCCUUACAUCUCUCUAGUCCCCUGCCCUCACAUCUAACAGCACGCGCGCCCCUCCCCAACCACGGCUUGGGUGGAGUUUGGGCUGUGGACUUGGGUGGAAGCUGAGGAGCGGCAGCCUAGGCCUGCUCUUGAAGAGUAUUCAGCAUCUUAGAGAGGUUCAGAAAGAUCCCUACCGCUGGAAAUCGGAACAGCAACCAGCUUGAUAGUCGUCCCCUGUUGGAGGAGUGGCUUGAGCACUGUUUUCAAACGCUGAUUUCAGUGCCAUGAGAUCUGGUUACUGUCCUGCUGAAGGAACUGUUAUGUGUGUUAAACCAUCUCCUGCUUUCAUGUGAUGCGAGGAAUGUUCUCCAAUUAUCCCUGAUUGGCUAAUAAAGCUGCUGACCGCUUGGACUGGGAGAAUAGAGGAGCCGGAGAGAUGGGUCAGCAUUUGAGUUUGCUUCCCAACACCUACAUUGGGAACCUCACAACCUACUCAAUAUCCAGCCCCAGGGGAUCCCAUGUCCUACUUUAACCUUCAAGGAUGGCCGCCACAAACAUAAAUAAUAAAUAAUAAAGUUGCUGUGAACAUAGUCAAGCAAGUGUCCUUGUGAUAGGUUGGAACAUCCAUUGGGUAUAUGUCCUGAGUGGAAUAGCUGGGUCUUUUUCCUUUUUAAAAUUAAUUAAUGUAUUUAUUUCCUUUAAAUUCUGGCAGGACGUUCUUCUCUCUCCUCUACUCCCAGUCUGUCUCUCUCUCUCCUCUGUUCCUUCUUCCUUUUCUUUCUCUCUUUCUUCUCAGAGAAGGAAGCUGUGUCUUAAAGUAUAUUGAUUCCCAAUUUUUUGAGAAAUUGCCGUAUUGAUUUUCAAAGUGUCUGUAUAAGUUUGUACUCGCACCAGCAAUGGAGAAGUGUUUUUCUUGCUCCACAUCCUCACCAGCAUGUGCUGUCACUUAGGUUUUUAUCUUAGCCAUUCCGACAAGUGUAAGAUAGAAUCUCAGAGUUAUUUUGAUUUGUAUUUCCUGGUGGCUAAGAAUAUUGAACAUUUCUUUAAGUGAUUCUUGGCCCUUAGAGAUUCCUCUGUUGAGAUUAUUCUGUUUAGAUCUACCUCAUUUUUAAAUUGGAUUAUAUGAUUUGUUGGUGUCUAGUUUCUUAAGUAAUUUAUAUAUUUUGGAUAUCAGACCUUUGUCAGAUAUGUCGUUGGCCACAAUACUUUCCCAUUCUGUAGUCUGUUGUUUGGUCGUUUUCAUAGUGUCUUUUGCCUCAUAGAAGAUUUCAGGUUUCAUGAAGUCUCACUUGUUGAUCUUAAAGCCUGCAAGGACUGGUGUUCUGUUCUGGAAGUUGUCGCCUGUGCUAAUGCAUUGAAGACUAUUUCCCACUUUCUCUUCAAUCAAGGUGUACUGUAUAUGGUUUUAUGUUGAGAUCUUUGACCACUUGGACCUGAGUUUUGUGCAGGAUGAUAGGUAUAUAUCUAUUUCACUUUCUACAUAUGCUAUCCAGUUAGAAUAGCAUUAUUUGUUGAAGAUGCUUUCUUUUUCCUUUGUAUGGUUUUGGCUACUUUGUCAAAAAUCAAGUGUCCUUAGAUGUAUGGAUUUAUUUCUGGGUCUUUGAUUCAAUUCCAAUGAUCAAUCUAUAUGUUUAUAUGCCAAUAGCAUGUAUUUUUUUAUUAUUUUUGCUCUGUAGUACAACUUGAAAUCAGGUAUGGUGAUACCACUUAAGUUCUUUUUAUUGUAGAGAUUGUCUUAGAUAUCCUGUCUUUUUGGUUUUCCCAAUUAAAUUGAUAAUUGUUCUUUCAAGGUCUGUAAAGGCUUGUUGGAAUUUUUAUGAAAAUUGCACUGAAUAUAUAAUAUUCCUUUGUUAAGAUGGCCAUUUUUACUAUGUUAAUCCUACUGAUCCAUGAGCAUAGGAGAGCUUUUCAUCUUGUGAUAUUUUUUUUUCAAUUUAUUUCUUCAAAGACUUGAGGAAAAGACUUGUUUGUCAUAAAAGUUUUUCACUUUCUUGGCUAGCGUUACACUAUGAUAUUUUAUAUUAUUUGUGCCUAUUAUGAUGGCUGUUCUUUCCCUGGUUUCUUACUCAUCUCAUUCAUCAUUUGUAUAUAGAAGUGCUGCCGAAUUUUUUUGAGAUAAUUUUGUAUCCAGUCAUAUGGCUGAAGGGGUACCCUCUCCAUACUAUCUUAUCAUCUGCAAAUAGUGAUACUUUGUCUUCUUCCUUUCCAAUAUGUAUCCCCUUGAUCUCCUUUAGUUUUAGUUAGAGCAACAAGGUACAUUUUUAUAAUAAUAUUUGACUUUCCCAUUAAAAGUUACUGUGUGUUUAUGUGUGUAUCUGGGCCUUUCAUAGGUGACACAGUGGCUUCCGUCCCCCACUGGGGGUCUUCAUGAAAAUCUAGCUAAUGGGAAGACAGUAUUUCACCCUUAUAAUUUUACUUUUCAAAUCAUAUAAUAACAAAUGAUAAUCAGAUUGUUUCUCAUAAAUUAUAUAUCAGAAAGGAACUUAUCUGAAGAGGAUCAAUAUAUGUAAUGUGUAUAAUAUUAAUAUAAAAUAUACAUUUCAUAACUACAUAUGAAAUUAUUUCAGUAAAGAUGGAUUUAUAAAAAUUUAUCUGGUUUUAUUGUAAACUUCUUAAUUUUGCUUCAGCAUUGUCUGUUAUUCCAAAAUCAAUAAAAAGUGUAAGUAUUUUACAAUAAUUUAGAUAAUUGGUUGAUAUAUGCUAGCUCCUAAAUAUUUGUAAAUACAUGUCUAUGUAAAAUGAAUUAGAAAUUGCUUAUAUAAAUAAUAAAAUUUAUAUAAGGAAUAGUGCUUCCUCAAGACCCAGCUAUACCACUCCUAGGUAUGUACCCAAAAUUUGCUCAAGUACACAACAAGGACAUUUGCUCAACCAUGUUUGUAUCAGCUUUAUUUGUAAUAGCCAGAACCUGGAAACAACCCAGAUGUCCCUCAACAGAGGAAUGGAUACAGAAAUUGUGGUAUUUUUACACAAUGGAAUACUGCUCAGCAAUCAAAAAGGAGGAAAUCAUGAAAUUUGCAGGCAAAUGGUGGGAUCUAGAAAAGAUCCUUCUGAGUCAAGUAUCCCAGAAGGAGAAAGACUAACAUACUAUAUACCUUCUUAUAUAGACCUACAAGAUAUGAUAAACAUAAUGAAAUCUAAAUACACCUAAAGAAGAUAAACAAGAAAGCAAAUACGGGGUAAGAUGAUCAAUCCUCACUUAUAAAGACAAAUGGGAUGUGCAUUGAACGUAUGACAGGAGUCUACCACAGAAGGCACCUGAAAGACUCUACCUAGCAGUGUUUCAAAACAGAUACUAACACUCACAACCAAACCUUUGGGAGAAGGGGAGUUAGUAUGAUGUGGAAAGGAUAGGAGCUCCACAAGGACCAAAUAUAUCUGGGCACAGGGGUCUUUUCUGAGACUGACACUCCACCAAGGACCAUGUAUGGAUAUAACCUAGAACCUUUGCUCGGAUGAAGCCUGUGGUAGCUCAGUAACCAAAUGGUUUCCCAUAGUAAGGGGAACAGGGACUAUUUCUGACAGGAACUCAAUGGCAGGCUCUUUGACCUCCCCACCCCCCAAGAGAGGAACAGUCCUGCUAGGCCACAGAGGAGGACUUUGCAGCCAGUCCUGAAGAUACCUGAUAAAACAGGGUCAGAUGAAAGGGAGGGAGGUCCUCCCCAAUCAGUGGACUUCGAAAGA
Long non-coding RNA from Meriones unguiculatus (Mongolian gerbil), 3865 nucleotides. RefSeq lists it as uncharacterized. The transcript is spliced from 3 exons. The record is from RefSeq and is a predicted model, not a curated record. Lineage: Eukaryota; Metazoa; Chordata; Mammalia; Rodentia; Muridae.